This 301-nucleotide ribosomal RNA is filed under the name uncultured bacterium. Its description in RNAcentral is "partial 16S ribosomal RNA". It matches the Rfam family "Bacterial small subunit ribosomal RNA", at positions 509 to 807 of the family's 1533-position model. The record is from RNAcentral.
CAGUCGCCGCGGGAAUACGAAGGGUGCAAGCGUUACUCGGAAUUACUGGGCGUAAAGCGUGCGUAGGUGGAGGUUUAAGUCCGUUGUGAAAGCCCUGGGCUCAACCUGGGAAUUGCAGUGGAUACUAGAUCACUAGAGUGUGGUAGAGGAUAGUGGAAUUUCCGGUGUAGCAGUGAAAUGCGUAGAGAUCGGAAGGAACAUCUGUGGCGAAGGCGACUAUCUGGGCCAAUACUGACGCUCAUGCACGAAAGCGUGGGGAGCAAACAGGAUUAGAUACCCCCGUAGUCCCUGUCUCUUAUAC